This 440-nucleotide ribosomal RNA is filed under the name uncultured bacterium. RNAcentral's name for it is "partial 16S ribosomal RNA". It matches the Rfam family "Bacterial small subunit ribosomal RNA", at positions 338 to 795 of the family's 1533-position model. The record is from RNAcentral.
CCUACGGGAGGCAGCAGUGGGGAAUAUUGCACAAUGGGGGAAACCCUGAUGCAGCGACGCCGCGUGAGCGAUGAAGUAUUUCGGUAUGUAAAGCUCUAUCAGUAGUGAAGAUAAUGACGGUACCUGACUAAGAAGCUCCGGCUAACUACGUGCCAGCAGCCGCGGUAAUACGUAGGGGGCAAGCGUUAUCCGGAUUUACUGGGUGUAAAGGGAGCGCAGACGGCUGUGCAAGCCAGAUGUGAAAGCUAGGGGCUCAACCCCAGAACUGCAUUUGAAACUGUGAUGCUAGAGUGUAGGAGAGGCAGGCGGAAUUCCUGGUGUAGCGGUGAAAUGCGUAGAUAUUGGGAGGAACACCAGUGGCGAAGGCGGCCUGCUGGGCGUUGACUGACGUUGAGGCUCGAAAGCAUGGGGAGCAAACAGGAUUAGAUACCCGAGUAGUC